GGGGCCGUAGUCUAGCCAGGGAUGACGACAGUCGUACCGGCAACGGUUCUACCGUUAAGGGCUCCAGAAACAAGCAAUGGGUUUGCUGACCAGAAUCUGGGAUGACGAAAUUCUGGAGCGAGGAGAAACCCGUAGGGACAGAAAAUGAUCUGUUUCGGGUAAAGGUCGUCGGUUCAAUUCCGGCCGGCCCCACCA
RNAcentral lists this transfer RNA (195 nucleotides) under archaeon. RNAcentral describes it as "tRNA-OTHER". RNAcentral also lists the same sequence under 1 other name. The record is from RNAcentral.